AGAGUUUGAUCAUGGCUCAGGAUGAACGCUGGCGGCGUGCCUAAUACAUGCAAGUCGAACGGUCCGCAAGGAUAGUGGCGAACGGGUGAGUAGCGCGUUGGUGACCUGCCCUGGAGAGGGGGAUAACAGACCGAAAGGUCUGCUAAUACCGCAUGAGUUCUUACUAGUUAGAGAGGUAAGAAGAAAGCCGAAAGGCGCUCCAGGAGGGACCUGCGUCCCAUCAGCUAGUUGGUGAGGUAGUGGCCCACCAAGGCGAUGACGGGUAGGGGACCUGAGAGGGUGACCCCCCACAAUGGAACUGAAACACGGUCCAUACACCUACGGGUGGCAGCAGUAGGGGAAUAUUGGUUAAUCUGCGAAAGCGGGAACCAGCAACGCCGCGUGAACGAUGAAGGCCUUCGGGUUGUAAAGUUCUUUUGGCAGGGAAGAGGAAGGACGGUACCUGUCGAAUAAGUCUCGGCUAACUACGUGCCAGCAGCCGCGGUAACACGUAGGAGACGAGCGUUAUCCGGAUUUACUGGGUGUAAAGCGCGUGCAGGCGGAACGGCAAGUUGGAUGUGAAAGCUCCUGGCUUAACUGGGAGAGGUCGUACAAGACUGCCGAUCUAGAGGACAGCAGAGGGGAGUGGAAUUCCGAGUGUAGCGGUAAAAUGCAUAGAUAUUCGGAAGAACACCAGUGGCGAAAGCGGCUCUCUGGGCUGUAACUGACGCUCAGACGCGAAAGCUAGGGUAGCAAACGGGAUUAGAGACCCCGGUAGUCCUAGCCGUAAACGAUGUGGACUUGGCGUAGGUGGGUUCAAAUCCAUCUGUGCCGCAGCAAACGCGAUAAGUCCACCACCUGGGGACUACGGCCGCAAGGUUAAAACUCAAAGGAAUUG
Molecule: ribosomal RNA, 877 nt
Filed under: uncultured bacterium
Lineage: Bacteria
Description: bacterial SSU rRNA
Rfam family: Bacterial small subunit ribosomal RNA
Source: RNAcentral